Molecule: long non-coding RNA, 1456 nt
Filed under: Sorghum bicolor (sorghum)
Lineage: Eukaryota; Viridiplantae; Streptophyta; Magnoliopsida; Poales; Poaceae
Description: long non-coding RNA (SBIC_LNC004022)
Source: RNAcentral
UCGCCCCUCCUCUCGUAAACAUGCCACCCUUCCCGCAAUCUCCUUCAUGCCCUCCCCCUGCACAACCGUCGCCCGCCCACGAUGGUCCCCAUCCUCUCCGCAAGCCGCUCCACCUCCCCGCUCGUCCACGGUCUGCCCAUCGCGCCCGCUACCCCACAGUCUGCGCACCCUCCACGACGUCAGCACCACCUCCUCCAUGCCACCUCCACGCGUGCGCUGCGCCGCCUCCACGCUGCCGGCGCUGCUUCGCGCCGCCUAGGAGAGCGGCCAGGAGAUCUUGAUGCUUGACCAUGGAGGGAGAGGACGCCGCCAUACGCCGAGGGAUUGCCAUCACUAAUUAGCGCAGGAAUCUACUCAACUACAGGGAGCGCUAGGAGAUCUUGACGAUUGGCUGAUGGGGAGGACGCCGCGGCAGGAAGUUGCUCAACUGUAGGGGACUCGAGUCCCACGAAAGGCACCGGUGAGUCAUCUGAUCCCCUUCUAUCCUCAAUCCUCAGUCCUCACCCACCCCUCUUAGUACGUGUGGACUCACCAGUAAAAUUGGGUGUGGAUCAAAUUCAUCCAAUAAUUUAACAUGUGCUUGUGAACUCAUGACUCGCCAGCGUCUUUUGAUCAUUCAUUCCUUUUCUAAGUCAUCUCCCUGCAGUCGCAAGAGCUAGAUGGUGCUCUGCUUCUGUGCCGUUCUGUAGUGGGGCUGCUGUUUGAUUGGAUUUUUUUCAAAUGGCCAGCGGUGCUGAAUUGCUGGUUUGAUAUGGUUGUAUUCGCGUCAUGAUCAGAGCUUUUGGUGUUGAGCUCUUGCCUAUCGAUGCCUCGGAACCGUACUUUCUAUACUUAAUUGAUGAUGCAUUUGUUGUUCUUAUUUGUAACUUGGCAACUACUGCAAAUACAAGAGAUACUUAUUAAUUCUUCGUUCAGUCUUUUUGAAGUCUUUAGUAUGUCAGAGCAUUCCAGUGACAUUUCGAUAGUGGUGUUUCAGAGUAUUCCUGGAUAAUUUUAGUAUAGCUCAAAACCAAGACAGGGAAAAACAUACUAUUAAGUAACGUUUCAAAAUUUUGUGGAUUAGCAAUAACAUAGCUAUAAAAUUAUUCUAUCACGUGUAACCAAAGUUCCCUUGGAUUCUCUUUUUUUCUUAAUGGAAAUGUUAAUCCUGAUAAAUCAUUACAGACAACCAGUGAGAUCAGAUUCUCUAGAAUUUUCUAAUUUAGGUGUUGCUUCAAAGUUCAGUGUCUCCAAAAUAUCUUGAGAAGAAUACAUAAUUCAACUCCUGCUACAGCUCAUGCAUUCAUGUAUUUGUGAACUUUAGGAAAUGUGUGCUUAGAAAAAAGAAAGGCACAUGCAAUUUAGCUACCUAGAGUAUUCAAGGAAACCUCUUGCGUGUUUAAUAAAAAAAGAAUAAUAGAAUACAAAGAAAUACCUAAUCCAUAGAACUGUUCAGGCAGUUAGUUUCCUUUGAGAU